This 383-nucleotide ribosomal RNA is filed under the name uncultured bacterium. Its description in RNAcentral is "bacterial SSU rRNA". It matches the Rfam family "Bacterial small subunit ribosomal RNA", at positions 957 to 1345 of the family's 1533-position model. The record is from RNAcentral.
UAACGCGAAGAACCUUACCUACCCUUGACAUGCCAGGAAUCCUGCAGAGAUGUGGGAGUGCUCGCAAGAGAGCCUGGACACAGGUGCUGCAUGGCUGUCGUCAGCUCGUGUCGUGAGAUGUUGGGUUAAGUCCCGCAACGAGCGCAACCCUUGCCAUUAGUUGCUACGAAAGGGCACUCUAAUGGGACUGCCGGUGACAAACCGAGGAAGGUGGGGAUGACGUCAAGUCCUCAUGGCCCUUAUGGGUAGGGCUACACACGUCAUACAAUGGCCGGUACAGAGGGCUGCCAACCCGCGAGGGGGAGCCAAUCCCGCAAAACCGGUCGUAGUCCGGAUUGCAGUCUGCAACUCGACUGCAUGAAGUCGGAAUCGCUAGUAAUCGC